Molecule: small nuclear RNA, 107 nt
Organism: Pteropus vampyrus (large flying fox)
Lineage: Eukaryota; Metazoa; Chordata; Mammalia; Chiroptera; Pteropodidae
Source: Ensembl
GUGUUCAUCUCAGCAGCAUAUAGACUAAACUUGGAAUAAUACAGAGAAAGUCAACAUGGCCCCUGCAUAAGGAAGACACGCAAAUUCAUGAAGCAUUUCAUAUUUUU